Molecule: ribosomal RNA, 326 nt
Filed under: uncultured bacterium
Lineage: Bacteria
Description: SSU rRNA
Rfam family: Bacterial small subunit ribosomal RNA
Source: RNAcentral
GAAAACCGUGUGCUAAAUUACCCGGUAAUAACCGGCCCCCUUUAGGGGGGAAAGAUUUAUCGGGGUUUGAUGAGCCCGCGUUGGAUUAGCUAGUUGGUGGGGUAAAGGCCUACCAAGGCGACGAUCCAUAGCUGGUCUGAGAGGAUGAUCAGCCACAUUGGGACUGAGACACGGCCCAAACUCCUACGGGAGGCAGCAGUGGGGAAUAUUGGACAAUGGGCGCAAGCCUGAUCCAGCCAUGCCGCGUGAGUGAUGAAGGUCUUAGGAUUGUAAAGCUCUUUCACCGGAGAAGAUAAUGACGGUAUCCGGAGAAGAAGCCCCGGCUA